Choloepus didactylus (southern two-toed sloth) is the source of this 240-nucleotide long non-coding RNA. RefSeq lists it as uncharacterized. The transcript has 3 exons. The record is from RefSeq and is a predicted model, not a curated record. NCBI's taxonomy places the organism in Eukaryota, Metazoa, Chordata, Mammalia, Pilosa, Megalonychidae.
GAAGACGGCUCCCAGGGGAGAUGAGAAAACUGAGACAUAGAACUUUUAAUGUGCCCCCUCCUCUCCAAGCCCAGAGAGAGUCCAUGGCAGAACGAGGGUCUGGAUGAUUCACAGCCCAGGUUAGGAUGGCAGCUGUUGCAAACAGCUCAGACGAGGUGCCUACCCAGGGAGUAAAUGGAGCUGCCCACCAACAGCCACGUGGGUGGGUCUGGAAGUGGAUCCUCCAGCCCAGUCAGGGCU